Cordylochernes scorpioides is the source of this 81-nucleotide non-coding RNA. NCBI's taxonomy places the organism in Eukaryota, Metazoa, Arthropoda, Arachnida, Pseudoscorpiones, Chernetidae. The record is from the annotation of a GenBank genome assembly.
UGUCCAGGGGCGGGAAUCGAACCCACAACCUUCUGCUUACCGGGCAGGUGCCAUGUCCACUAGGCUGAUUUGUAUCUGAAU